UCGCCAUUCUUUUAAACAAGGAUAUCAAAGCAGGUUUAGGUUUCUGCGUCAAGGAUGUGCACAAAGAUUGGGAGGAAGCAUUUGAUUUUAAAGGAAGGUUGGAUUUCGUGGAUUCUUGUGUUAAGAAAAAAGGGGAUUUCAGAGAUAGAAUAUGUACUGUGUCUGAAAUAAGGUAUUACUUCCAUGGUUUCCUGGAACAAGGGGCAACAUCUAGCAACUAUGUAAAACC
RNAcentral lists this small RNA (229 nucleotides) under Vigna angularis var. angularis. RNAcentral's name for it is "Non-protein coding transcript". Lineage: Eukaryota; Viridiplantae; Streptophyta; Magnoliopsida; Fabales; Fabaceae. The record is from RNAcentral.